GAAGAAGAAAAAGACUCGCAGGAGUUCACUUCCUGUAUUAAGAUUUUCAUGCUUCCACAAAUGUGUGCAUCUGUCAGACAGAGGUGAACAUGGCAGACGUCUCGGAGAGGACACUACAGGUCGCCGUUGUGGUUUCUUUCGCUGCCGGCUUCUUGGCGGGGUGGCAGGCGAACAGAAUGAGGAGAAGGUUUCUGGACUGGAGGAAAAAACGACUCCAGGAAAAGCUAUCAGAAACACAGAAGAAACUGGAUUUGGCUUGAAUGGUCUGCGGUAUGAGGCUCUUGGAUUCUGGAUGUGGAUCCUACACCAUGUUUGUGACCGAGGGAAGGAAAUCUGAAGAUGACCUACCUGUAUGCUGCACUACCUGUAUUUGUCUGCCACGCCUUUCAAUUUAAGACUCUAAUUCACUCUAAACCAGUUCCAUGAAAAUGGAAGCAACAGCAUUUUGUUGUUGUUCUUGUUGUUGUUCUGCUAACAAAAAGGGAGUGGUGGCCCUGUCCCCAGUGCUGUUCUCUGCCAACAUGUCUCCAUCUCUUUAUUUGUCAAAUCAGGUCAAAUAAAUUAUUUUUUUUCCUA
Haplochromis burtoni (Burton's mouthbrooder) is the source of this 576-nucleotide long non-coding RNA. RefSeq annotates it as mitoregulin. NCBI's taxonomy places the organism in Eukaryota, Metazoa, Chordata, Actinopteri, Cichliformes, Cichlidae. The transcript has 2 exons. The record is from RefSeq and is a predicted model, not a curated record.